GCUACAAUAAACCAUAACCACGGGCACCGCGGCUUUCAGUGACUUAUGAGUCAUGCUAGCAAGUUAGUGAAACUUCAGGUUUUAAAUUUUGAAUCUUAUUGCUUCUGUGAACAGUGUUGAAGAUCAUCUCAUUGAUUACCAAAUGUUUUGAAACAAGCCUAUAAAGCUGCCCUAACAGAAUGCAAAGAGAAAUUUUGAGAAUCAAAACCUGUGACUUCCUUUGCAAAACAAAGAACUGAUUACAUGUUUAGUCAAUAAAUGAAGAAUGGCUGGUU
This is a long non-coding RNA of Suricata suricatta (meerkat), 275 nucleotides long. RefSeq lists it as uncharacterized. The transcript is spliced from 3 exons. The record is from RefSeq and is a predicted model, not a curated record. Lineage: Eukaryota; Metazoa; Chordata; Mammalia; Carnivora; Herpestidae.